This 482-nucleotide ribosomal RNA is filed under the name uncultured bacterium. Its description in RNAcentral is "partial 16S ribosomal RNA". It matches the Rfam family "Bacterial small subunit ribosomal RNA", at positions 30 to 507 of the family's 1533-position model. The record is from RNAcentral.
AUUGAACGCUGGCGGCAUGCUUUACACAUGCAAGUCGAACGGUAACAGGCCGCAAGGUGCUGACGAGUGGCGAACGGGUGAGUAAUGCAUCGGAACGUGCCCAGUCGUGGGGGAUAACUACUCGAAAGAGUAGCUAAUACCUCAUACGAUCUAUGGAUGAAAGCGGGGGACCGUAAGGCCUCGCGCGAUUGGAGCGGCCGAUGUCAGAUUAGGUAGUUGGUGGGGUAAAGGCUCACCAAGCCAACGAUCUGUAGCUGGUCUGAGAGGACGACCAGCCACACUGGGACUGAGACACGGCCCAGACUCCUACGGGAGGCAGCAGUGGGGAAUUUUGGACAAUGGGCGCAAGCCUGAUCCAGCAAUGCCGCGUGCAGGAAGAAGGCCUUCGGGUUGUAAACUGCUUUUGUACGGAACGAAACGGCUCUGGUUAAUACCCGGGGCUAAUGACGGUACCGUAAGAAUAAGCACCGGCUAACUACGUG